RNAcentral lists this ribosomal RNA (434 nucleotides) under uncultured Oscillospiraceae bacterium. RNAcentral's name for it is "bacterial SSU rRNA". It matches the Rfam family "Bacterial small subunit ribosomal RNA", at positions 341 to 792 of the family's 1533-position model. Lineage: Bacteria; Bacillati; Bacillota; Clostridia; Eubacteriales; Oscillospiraceae. The record is from RNAcentral.
ACGGGAGGCAGCAGUGGGGAAUAUUGCACAAUGGGCGGAAGCCUGAUGCAGCGAUGCCGCGUGAGGGAAGAAGGCUUUCGGGUUGUAAACUUCUUUUAAGUGGGACGAUAAUGACGGUACCACUUGAAUAAGCUCCGGCUAACUACGUGCCAGCAGCCGCGGUAAUACGUAGGGAGCAAGCGUUAUCCGGAUUUACUGGGUGUAAAGGGCGUGUAGGCGGGACAGCAAGUCAGAUGUGAAAGCACGAGGCUCAACUUCGUGUCUGCAUUUGAAACUGCUGUUCUUGAGUGCUGGAGAGGCUAACGGAACUCCUAGUGUAGCGGUGAAAUGCGUAGAUAUUAGGAAGAACACCAGUGGCGAAGGCGGUUAGCUGGACAGUAACUGACGCUGAGGCGCGAAAGCGUGGGUAGCAAACAGGAUUAGAUACCCUGGUA